This 492-nucleotide ribosomal RNA is filed under the name uncultured bacterium. Its description in RNAcentral is "bacterial SSU rRNA". It matches the Rfam family "Bacterial small subunit ribosomal RNA", at positions 17 to 518 of the family's 1533-position model. The record is from RNAcentral.
UCCUGGCUCAGGAUGAACGCUGGCGGCGCGCCUAACACAUGCAAGUCGAACGGUUAAAGCACCUUCGGGUGUGUAUAAAGUGGCGAACGGCUGAGUAACACGUGGGCAACCUGCCCCUCGCACCGGGACAGCCUCGGGAAACCGUGGUUAAUACCGGAUACGCCCCCUUGAGGACAUCCUCUCGGGGGGAAAGCCCCGACGGCGAGGGAUGGGCCCGCGGCCUGUUAGCUAGUUGGUGAGGUAACGGCCCACCAAGGCAAUUAUGGGUAGCUGGGUUGAGAGACCGACCAGUCAGAUUGGGACUGAGACACGGCCCAGACUCCUACGGGAGGCAGCAGUGGGGAAUCUUGCACAAUGGGCGAAAGCCUGAAUGCAGCGACGCCGCGUGCGGGGCGAAGGCCUUCGGGUUGUAAACCGCUUUCAGCAGGGACGAGGCCGCGAGGUGACGGUACCUGCAGAAGAAGCCCCGGCUAACUACGUGCCAGCCGCCGC